GAAGUGCGUGCCGCUUGCGGCCGGCGCACAGGUGCUGCAUGGCUGUCGUCAGCUCGUGCUGUGAAGUGUUGGGUUAAGUCCCGCAACGACGCGCAACCCCUGCUGCCUGUUGCCACCACGAGAGGUGGGGACUCAGGCGGGACCGCCGGUGACAAACCGGAGGAAGGUGGGGACGACGUCAAGUCAUCAUGGCCCUUAUGUCCUGGGCUACACACGUGCUACAAUGGCCGGUACAGAGCGCAGCGAGGCCGCGAGGCGGAGCGAAUCGCUUAAAGCCGGUCCCAGUACGGAUUGGAGUCUGCAACCCGACUCCAUGAAGUUGGAAUCGCUAGUAAUCGCGCAUCAGCAUGGCGCGGUGAAUACGUUCCCGGGCCUU
This 376-nucleotide ribosomal RNA is filed under the name uncultured Spirochaeta sp. RNAcentral's name for it is "bacterial SSU rRNA". It matches the Rfam family "Bacterial small subunit ribosomal RNA", at positions 1005 to 1382 of the family's 1533-position model. The record is from RNAcentral. Lineage: Bacteria; Pseudomonadati; Spirochaetota; Spirochaetia; Spirochaetales; Spirochaetaceae.